UACGUAGGGCGCAAGCGUUGUCCGGAAUCAUUGGGCGUAAAGCGCGCGUAGGCGGCCCUGUAAGUCCGUUGUGAAAGUCAAAGGCUCAACCUUUGAACGCCGAUGGAUACUGCAGGGCUAGAGUCCGGAAGAGGCGAGUGGAAUUCCUGGUGUAGCGGUGGAAUGCGCAGAUAUCAGGAGGAACACCAAUAGCGAAGGCAGCUCGCUGGGACGGUACUGACGCUAAGGCGCGAAAGCGUGGGGAGCAAACAGG
Molecule: ribosomal RNA, 253 nt
Filed under: uncultured bacterium
Lineage: Bacteria
Description: partial 16S ribosomal RNA
Rfam family: Bacterial small subunit ribosomal RNA
Source: RNAcentral